Molecule: long non-coding RNA, 1236 nt
Organism: Acanthochromis polyacanthus (spiny chromis)
Lineage: Eukaryota; Metazoa; Chordata; Actinopteri; Pomacentridae
Exons: 3
Source: RefSeq, a predicted model, not a curated record
CAGGUUUGCCACCGGCGGCAAAAAAGGGGACACACGCAGCACUGAGGAGGAACUGAGAAUGAAUGACCGAGUUCAAACAAAGUGGCCGUGAGUUUCUGUUGGGAAAGGAUCAAGAUCUGCGGCAAACUGUGCAGGAUUGCCUUCAUCUCCAAAAUCCGGGUUGCAGCCGGUGAUUGGCAGGAGGAGGAGAGUCUGACGGAGGAGCAGAGGAAUGUUGGCAGCCAUUUAGUCUGAGCUCAACAACGGAGGAAACAUGGAUUCUUCACAAAAAGUCAGGUUUUUUGGUCCUGCUGAAUUGGUCAGAGACUUUCUGUUCCGUGGCGUGCGAGGAGACGAGGCACACACGACGUGGGAUUUUAGAUGGCGAGCCAGACCCGUGAACUCUGUUUUCAGUGACAAGAACUCAUCUUCAUCGUGCCAGUGAGGACACUGCUGUCGCUUUGGAGCUGUUGGUAAACUCGCUGCCUGAGUGGUAGGAGUAUUGGAUUCUUUCUUUUUCCUCUAUUUGAACUAAACUGAGUUGGAGUAAACAACUGAACUGGAACUGAGAACAUAAUUGGAACUGAACUUGAAGUGAAACUGAAAUGUUACAUGUUCAUGGUUGUUCAUAAUCAUCAGUUAUGAGUGAGAUGGGAUUGUGUUGCAAUUCAUUUUCAUUUGGGAAUUGUGGUUUUACUUUUUUUACCUGUGAAAUAGAAGGAAGAGUUAACUCAAGAGUAGGGCUUAACGAUUUUGGAAAAUAAUCUAAUUGCGAUUAUUUUUGGAGAUAUUGCGAUUGCGAUUUAAUAUGCGAUUAUUUUUUCAAACUACUAUUCUCAUGUAAAUGUCAUUGAUCACAACCAAUAAAUCAGUCUGUUUCAUAAUAAACUGUCAGAUUUAUUUAAAGUGCAAAUUGCAACACUGAAGAAAACCAAACGGUGGCUGUACCUAUUUAAAACUUCAAGUCUUAAUCUUUCACGUUGAAUAAAACGUGAUGUAAACAUGUGGACUGCACUUCUUACAUGCAGUCUGAACUUAACAGUACAGUCUAUACAUGAAUAAAUUAUAUAUGCAAAAAUAAAACUCACUGAUUCAGUAACAUUACCCAUCUGAAAGUGCAGGAAUAAUAAGAACAAAUGUCAGCUUGAACAUUUUAAGGGAAAUCAAACUCCCAGUGCAAAAUAAACUACUGUAUGUUAUUAUGAAACACUAAAGGAAAUACAGCAUUAUAUUCACUCAAUAACAGCUGCACACAAC